This 310-nucleotide long non-coding RNA is filed under the name Helianthus annuus (common sunflower). Its description in RNAcentral is "sRNA HanXRQr2_Chr05g0201601". The record is from RNAcentral. Lineage: Eukaryota; Viridiplantae; Streptophyta; Magnoliopsida; Asterales; Asteraceae.
GUAAACCUCACUUUUCACACCUCCAUCAUCUCGACACCCUCACUACACCACCACACUAGCUUUUCGGUUGUCGUUACGCUACGCCAGAGUUAACAAGAUCCACCGGAGACGCUCGGACAUCACCCGAAGAUUCUCUCGCUUUGAAGACGAUACUGGAAGCUACCGGAGCCGUUCGAAGCCGUUGCCGAAUCUGCGAGAUGCCGGAGACGACCAAAGCCACGACGAGGAACCACCUUUGCUUCGGUUAACCGCUUCCGUCCAUUUGGAAACCUUUUCUCAAUCUAUACCCGUGCGUUAUUUUACAAGAAAU